Molecule: non-coding RNA, 100 nt
Organism: Acanthosepion pharaonis
Lineage: Eukaryota; Metazoa; Mollusca; Cephalopoda; Sepiida; Sepiidae
Source: the annotation of a GenBank genome assembly
AGGUUGAAACACCGGUUCUCGUACGAUCAGCAAAGAUAAGCAACAUUGAACCUGGUCAGUACCUAGAUGGGUGACAGCUUUGGAAUACUAAUUGCUGUAG